GGGGAAUUGUACGGGGACAGAUUAACAGGAUUAGAUACCCUGGUAGUCCACGCCCUAGACGAUGUCAACUAGCUGUUGGGGCCUUCGGGCCUUGGUAGCGCAGCUAACGCGUGAAGUUGACCGCCUGGGGAGUACGGUCGCAAGAUUAAAACUCAAAGGAAUUGACGGGGACCCGCACAAGCGGUGGAUGAUGUGGAUUAAUUCGAUGCAACGCGAAAAACCUUACCUACCCUUGACAUGUCUGGAAUGCCGAAGAGAUUUGGUAGUGCUCGCAAGAGAACCGGAACACAGGUGCUGCAUGGCUGUCGUCAGCUCGUGUCGUGAGAUGUUGGGUUAAGUCCCGCAACGAGCGCAACCCUUGUCAUUAGUUGCUACGAAAGGGCACUCUAAUGAGACUGCCGGUGACAAACCGGAGGAAGGUGGGGAUGACGUCAAGUCCUCAUGGCCCUUAUGGGUAGGGCUUCACACGUCAUACAAUGGUCGGGACAGAGGGUCGCCAACCCGCGAGGGGGAGCCAAUCCCAGAAACCCGAUCGUAGUCCGGAUCGCAGUCUGCAACUCGACUGCGUGAAGUCGGAAUCGCUAGUAAUCGCGGAUCAGCAUGUCGCGGUGAAUACGUUCCCGGGUCUUGUACACACCGCCCGUCGCACCAUGGGAGUGGGUUUUACCAGAAGUAGUUAGCCUAACCGCAAGGGGGGCGAUUACCACGGUAGGAUUCAUGACUGGGGUGAAGUCGUAACAAGGUAACCAAUCU
Molecule: ribosomal RNA, 753 nt
Filed under: uncultured bacterium
Lineage: Bacteria
Description: bacterial SSU rRNA
Rfam family: Bacterial small subunit ribosomal RNA
Source: RNAcentral